AAUCAACUCAGACAGCGUGUCGCGUAUUUGAUUUGAAACUUAAACUAAAGCUAACCAACUGUUGGCAGUAAAAAGUCUCAAGUCAAACAAAACAUAACAAAACAGUUCAUCCAUUAAAGCCAAGCUAAUAACAAUAAAAAAAACUGUAGCAACAACAACAUGGAAUAUUGAAUGAAUUCAACGUAUGCACAUAUAUUAACUUGGAGAACUUUUGCGUCGGAAAACUCAUUGGGAAACUCAUCGGGAAACUCCACGUCCAACUCAUGCCCAAGGGAAAGAUGGCCAACAAGUUGUCAGAAGCAUCUGGCCAAAUGGAAGCAACUGCAAUAAAGAGUUAAUACGUAUGAGAAUAUGAGAAAAGUCAACUUCCAUUAACAAGCACAAAAAAGUAACAAAUUUAACAAGCAACCAGAGAGAGAGAGAGAGAGAGAGAGGCAGAGCAAGUGCGAGUGAAAGAGAGCGAUGUAUACCGAGUUCAGCUUAAAGCAGCUCAAGGAGAGGGAGACGGAGGAGACGG
Long non-coding RNA from Drosophila innubila, 517 nucleotides. RefSeq lists it as uncharacterized. The transcript is spliced from 2 exons. NCBI's taxonomy places the organism in Eukaryota, Metazoa, Arthropoda, Insecta, Diptera, Drosophilidae. The record is from RefSeq and is a predicted model, not a curated record.